UUCAGUGAAUGAAUGCUGUCGGAAAAAAAGGCGCACUUCGUCCACAACGAAUGCUGCCAUUUGUGUUUGUGUGCAUCCUGUGUGCCGUAGUUCUGUUUACUGUAGGUCAUGUCCAGAAAAGCAAAUGUUUCACACAGUCUAAAGUUCAGACUGAAAAAGGCACAGGGAAGACGAGAGUUCUUCUGUUUACAGUUGAAAAUCUACGAGGACCUCGUGCAGCAGCAACGAAGAAUUUGCAGAAAAGGAAAACCUUGUGAAACAUGGCAAGUGUUGAAACCAAGAAGUGAACAGGCUUCAAUCAAAGCUUCAAGGGAUGCCAUGUAAUGCUGUUGUUUCUGCUAGCAAUGGAAACACUGGCUUUACAAGCCUUGAGGGGGAGGGGGGAGAGAGAGAGCCGCCAGCCGAACACACCUGUGAGGCCGAAACCGCGCGCCAGACGGGCGAACCGGCCCCGUGCCACUGAGCGCGCUCCCCGCAGCCUUCUUAUCGCCGCCGCAACGCACGUCCCGUUCGAGGAGCCCGCGCCCGCAGAGACGGCGUCCCUUCAAUCAGGAGGUGCGGCAGGCUCGCUCUAAUCCCCGCUCUAUGGGGCGAGCUGGCUGCGGACCCCCCCCAAGACGAUUUGGGGUUGGAUCUCCACCCGGGGACCGGGCAGCCGAGCAAAGAAUCAGACAAGAUGCAGACAGCGCCACUUUUCACCGCCCCCCACCCCCCACCCCUCAGCCUCAUCAGAGACUCAGAGGGGAAGACAAAAACGGCGAGCCAUUAAAGCCUCCUUUCUCAUUUGGACUGUACAACUUCAAAGGGAUCAGUUCCUGUCCAUUCAGCAGCCAAACAAUGCAGAACAAAUUGUAUCAGUACCCGGAGAAACAGUGGGGAAGAGAAAGCCCUGCUGUACACGUUGGGUGUAAUGGGACUGAAGCAGAUCAGACGGCUGGAGAGGCGUGUCUCGCCAGCGGGGUUAAAGGUCAGGCUACGGUUCCAGAAUACUGCAGUUCGACAGACAAUACACAAUGGAUGUGCAUUUAGGACAAUGGUUCAGAAGGGCUGUUCAGAGAUCAAUUUUUGUUUGUUCAAGUUGACGAACACAGGCUUGGGAAUGUGGCGAUAUUUGAAAUGAAUGGAAAUUAAUCUCGCUUAAGGUUUUCUCAAGCC
Long non-coding RNA from Anguilla anguilla (European eel), 1155 nucleotides. RefSeq lists it as uncharacterized. The record is from RefSeq and is a predicted model, not a curated record. The transcript is spliced from 4 exons. NCBI's taxonomy places the organism in Eukaryota, Metazoa, Chordata, Actinopteri, Anguilliformes, Anguillidae.